GACGAACGCUGGCGGCGUGCUUAACACAUGCAAGUCGAACGAAGAGCGAUGGAAGCUUGCUUCUAUCAAUCUUAGUGGCGAACGGGUGAGUAACGCGUAAUCAACCUGCCCUUCAGAGGGGGACAACAGUUGGAAACGACUGCUAAUACCGCAUACGAUCUGACCUCGGCAUCGAGGAUAGAUGAAAGGUGGCCUCUAUUUAUAAGCUAUCACUGAAGGAGGGGAUUGCGUCUGAUUAGCUAGUUGGAGGGGUAACGGCCCACCAAGGCGAUGAUCAGUAGCCGGUCUGAGAGGAUGAACGGCCACAUUGGGACUGCGACACGGCCCAGACUCCUACGGGAGGCAGCAGUGGGGAAUCUUCCGCAAUGGACGAAAGUCUGACGGAGCAACGCCGCGUGAGUGAUGACGGCCUUCGGGUUGUAAAGCUCUGUUAAUCGGGACGAAAGGCCUUCUUGCGAAUAGUUAGAAGGAUUGACGGUACCGGAAUAGAAAGCCACGGCUAACUACGUG
Molecule: ribosomal RNA, 510 nt
Filed under: uncultured bacterium
Lineage: Bacteria
Description: partial 16S ribosomal RNA
Rfam family: Bacterial small subunit ribosomal RNA
Source: RNAcentral